UACGUAGGGUGCAAGCGUUGUCCGGAAUUAUUGGGCGUAAAGAGCUCGUAGGCGGUUUGUCGCGUCUGCUGUGAAAUCCCGAGGCUCAACCUCGGGCUUGCAGUGGGUACGGGCAGACUAGAGUGCGGUAGGGGAGAUUGGAAUUCCUGGUGUAGCGGUGGAAUGCGCAGAUAUCAGGAGGAACACCGGUGGCGAAGGCGGGUCUCUGGGCCGUAACUGACGCUGAGGAGCGAAAGCGUGGGGAGCGAACAGG
RNAcentral lists this ribosomal RNA (253 nucleotides) under uncultured bacterium. RNAcentral's name for it is "partial 16S ribosomal RNA". It matches the Rfam family "Bacterial small subunit ribosomal RNA", at positions 524 to 776 of the family's 1533-position model. The record is from RNAcentral.